GUCACAUCCGAACACUUUGUGGGGAUGGGAUAUUCAGGGAAGAAUUUGGCUAGAAUUUCAACGAUGUCACCACGAUGAAGCACACUCUCAGCACAGAGGUAACGUCCUGAUGCUGAAGGAGUUUCAUAGAGAAGUAUGUGAGCUAAAGCCACAUCCUUAACAUGUACAUAUGCUUGAACUGAAUUAGCAUAUGUUUUAGCUGAGCCAGUAAGGUACUUGAGGAUAUGAAGAACACUAGCAUUCACAGUAUUUUGUAGCAAUGGUCCAAGCACCAACACUGGAUUUAUCGCGACUAAAUCAACUCCUUUCUCCCUCGCCUCAUCCCACGCUGCUUGUUCUGCCACCAUCUUACCAUAACAAUACCAAUUCUUAGUGUUCUUGCAAAAAUCAGGAUCGCUCCAGCAAGUCUCGUCAACCACUUUUUCAGGGUCUCUGCUUGGGUCCAUGUACACAGCUCCAAUUGAGGAAGUAAACA
Molecule: unclassified non-coding RNA, 475 nt
Filed under: Hevea brasiliensis (rubber tree)
Lineage: Eukaryota; Viridiplantae; Streptophyta; Magnoliopsida; Malpighiales; Euphorbiaceae
Source: RNAcentral